UACAGAGGGGGCAAGCGUUGUUCGGAAUUACUGGGCGUAAAGGGCGCGUAGGCGGCCUGCUAAGUCGAACGUGAAAUCCCCGAGCUCAACUCGGGAACUGCGUCCGAUACUGGCAGGCUUGAAUCCGGGAGAGGGAUGCGGAAUUCCAGGUGUAGCGGUGAAAUGCGUAGAGAUCGGCAGGAACACCCAGGGGGAAACCAGUCGACUGGGCAUCUACUGACGCUGAGGUGCGAGAGCGUGGGGAGCGAACCGG
RNAcentral lists this ribosomal RNA (253 nucleotides) under uncultured bacterium. RNAcentral describes it as "partial 16S ribosomal RNA". It matches the Rfam family "Bacterial small subunit ribosomal RNA", at positions 524 to 776 of the family's 1533-position model. The record is from RNAcentral.